Molecule: ribosomal RNA, 498 nt
Filed under: uncultured bacterium
Lineage: Bacteria
Description: partial 16S ribosomal RNA
Rfam family: Bacterial small subunit ribosomal RNA
Source: RNAcentral
GACGAACGCUGGCGGCGUGCCUAAUACAUGCAAGUCGAGCGGACGGAUGGGAGCUUGCUCCCAGACCGUCAGCGGCGGACGGGUGAGUAACACGUGGGCAACCUGCCUGUAAGACUGGGAUAACUCCGGGAAACCGGGGCUAAUACCGGAUAACUCUUUCCCUCACAUGAGGGAAAGCUGAAAGAUGGCAUCUCGCUAUCACUUACAGAUGGGCCCGCGGCGCAUUAGCUAGUUGGUGAGGUAACGGCUCACCAAGGCGACGAUGCGUAGCCGACCUGAGGGGGUGAUCGGCCACACGGGAACUGAGACACGGCCCAGACUCCUACGGGAGGCAGCAGUGGGGAAUCUUCCGCAAUGGACGAAAGUCUGACGGAGCAACGCCGCGUGAGUGAUGAAGGUUUUCGGAUCGUAAAACUCUGUUGUCAGGGAAGAACAAGUACCGGAGUAACUGCCGGUACCUUGACGGUACCUGACCAGAAAGCCACGGCUAACUACGUG